GUAAGGAAUAUUGGUCAAUGGGGGCAACCCUGAACCAGCCAUGCCGCGUGAAGGAUGAAGGCGUUAUGCGUUGUAAACUUCUUUUGUAUGGGAAGAAUGACAGGGAUUUAUCCUUGGAGAGACGGUACCAUACGAAUAAGCACCGGCUAACUCCGUGCCAGCAGCCGCGGUAAUACGGAGGGUGCAAGCGUUAUCCGGAUUCACUGGGUUUAAAGGGUGUGUAGGCGGGCUUGUAAGUCAGGGGUGAAAUCCUACAGCUUAACUGUAGAACUGCCUUUGAUACUAUAGGUCUUGAAUAUUGUUGAGGUGGGCGGAAUACAUCAUGUAGCGGUGAAAUGCUUAGAUAUGAUGUAGAACACCGAUUGCGAAGGCAGCUCACUAAGCAAAUAUUGACGCUGAGGCACGAAAGCGUGGGGAUCAAACAGGAUUAGAAACCCUUGUAGUCC
This 446-nucleotide ribosomal RNA is filed under the name uncultured bacterium. RNAcentral's name for it is "partial 16S ribosomal RNA". It matches the Rfam family "Bacterial small subunit ribosomal RNA", at positions 354 to 796 of the family's 1533-position model. The record is from RNAcentral.